RNAcentral lists this ribosomal RNA (253 nucleotides) under uncultured bacterium. Its description in RNAcentral is "partial 16S ribosomal RNA". It matches the Rfam family "Bacterial small subunit ribosomal RNA", at positions 524 to 776 of the family's 1533-position model. The record is from RNAcentral.
UACGUAGGUGGCAAGCGUUGUCCGGAAUUAUUGGGCGUAAAGCGCGAGCAGGCGGCUCGACAAGUUCGAUGUGAAAGCGCCCGGCUCAACCGGGCGAGGCCAUUGGAAACUAUCGAGCUGGAGGGCAGUAGAGGCAGGCGGAAUUCCGGGUGGAGUGGUGAAAUGCGUAGAGAUCCGGAGGAACACCAGAGGCGAAGGCGGCCUGCUGGGCUGCACCUGACGCUGAGCCGCGAAAGCCAGGGGAGCGAACGGG